RNAcentral lists this long non-coding RNA (692 nucleotides) under Pan troglodytes (chimpanzee). Its description in RNAcentral is "long non-coding RNA NONPTRT013306". Lineage: Eukaryota; Metazoa; Chordata; Mammalia; Primates; Hominidae. The record is from RNAcentral.
CAACCUUUUCCAUUUCUCCUCAAACGGUUUUGGAGAAGGGCGGAGUCAUAUCAUUUUAAAGGAAACUUGGAACCUCACCAAUACAAACGCUGGUCGAAUGUUCCCAGAAACUUCCCUGCAUUAGCUCUACCGGGCGCGGGGAGUAGAAAGCGCAUUUCCUGAGUCCUGAAAAGCGCGUGCGCGCCUGUGUGCUGCCGGCGUUUGUGCGCGCCUGUGUUCGUGUGUGUGCGCGCGUACGCGUGUAUGUUCGUGCGCGCUUGCGGGGACGUGCUUGUGGAGGGCGGAGAGAGGGAUGGGCGUGGCUAAUAUGAAAGCUGCACCUUUACUAGUUAGCUACCAUGCGUCAUUAUUUAUCAGAAGAUAUAUGCUGCUUAAACACAAAUACGUUUUAAAAUAUAUUUUAGGCAGUAGGGUUUUGGGGUUUUUUUUGCAAGUUCUUUUAGUGAGUAAAUUUAAUGAUAAAUGAUUUUUUUUUCUUUUGAGACAGUUUGAUCUGUCGCCCAGGAUGGAGUGCAGUGCAGUGGCGCGAUCCUGCAACCUCCGCCUCUCGAGUUCAAGCGAUUCUCCUGCCUCAGCCUCCCGAGUAGCUGGGAUUACAGACGCGCGCCACCCCACCCAGAUGAUCUUUUUAAAUGCAAAAUGCCAUCGACGCAGAAAAUCAAAGAAUCAGCUUAAGUUCCAGAAAAAAGAAA